Molecule: ribosomal RNA, 497 nt
Filed under: uncultured bacterium
Lineage: Bacteria
Description: partial 16S ribosomal RNA
Rfam family: Bacterial small subunit ribosomal RNA
Source: RNAcentral
GAUGAACGCUGGCGGCGUGCCUAAUACAUGCAAGUCGAGCGAACGGACGAGAAGCUUGCUUCUCUGAUGUUAGCGGCGGACGGGUGAGUAACACGUGGAUAACCUACCUAUAAGACUGGGAUAACUUCGGGAAACCGGAGCUAAUACCGGAUAAUAUUUUGAACCGCAUGGUUCAAAAGUGAAAGACGGUCUUGCUGUCACUUAUAGAUGGAUCCGCGCUGCAUUAGCUAGUUGGUAAGGUAACGGCUUACCAAGGCAACGAUGCAUAGCCGACCUGAGAGGGUGGGCGGCCACACUGGGACUGAGACACGGUCCAAACUCCUACGGGAGGCAGCAGUAGGGAAUCUUCCGCAAUGGGCGAAAGCCUGACGGAGCAACGCCGCGUGAGUGAUGAAGGUCUUCGGAUCGUAAAACUCUGUUAUUAGGGAAGAACAUAUGUGUAAGUAACUGUGCACAUCUUGACGGUACCUAAUCAGAAAGCCACGGCUAACUACGUG